Molecule: ribosomal RNA, 497 nt
Filed under: uncultured bacterium
Lineage: Bacteria
Description: partial 16S ribosomal RNA
Rfam family: Bacterial small subunit ribosomal RNA
Source: RNAcentral
GAUGAACGCUGGCGGCGUGCCUAAUACAUGCAAGUCGAGCGAACAGACGAGGAGCUUGCUCCUCUGAUGUUAGCGGCGGACGGGUGAGUAACACGUGGAUAACCUACCUAUAAGACUGGGAUAACUUCGGGAAACCGGAGCUAAUACCGGAUAACAUGUUGAACCGCAUGGUUCAACAGUGAAAGACGGUCUUGCUGUCACUUAUAGAUGGAUCCGCGCCGCAUUAGCUAGUUGGUAAGGUAACGGCUUACCAAGGCAACGAUGCGUAGCCGACCUGAGAGGGUGAUCGGCCACACUGGAACUGAGACACGGUCCAGACUCCUACGGGAGGCAGCAGUAGGGAAUCUUCCGCAAUGGGCGAAAGCCUGACGGGGCAACGCCGCGUGAGUGAAGAAGGUCUUCGGAUCGUAAAACUCUGUUAUUAGGGAAGAACAAAUGUGUAAGUAACUAUGCACGUCUUGACGGUACCUAAUCAGAAAGCCACGGCUAACUACGUG